UGGGGAAUCUUGGACAAUGGGCGAAAGCCUGAUCCAGCCAUGCCGCGUGAAUGAUGAAGGCCUUAGGGUUGUAAAAUUCUUUCACCGGAGAAGAUAAUGACGGUAUCCGGAGAAGAAGCCCCGGCUAACUUCGUGCCAGCAGCCGCGGUAAUACGAAGGGGGCUAGCGUUGUUCGGAAUUACUGGGCGUAAAGCGCACGUAGGCGGACCACCAAGUUGGAGGUGAAAUCCCGAAGCUCAACUUCGGAACUGCCUUCAAAACUGUUGGUCUAGAGGUCAGGAGAGGCGAGUGGAAUUCCGAGUGUAGAGGUGAAAUUCGUAGAUAUUCGGAGGAACACCAGUGGCGAAGGCGACUCGCUGGACUGAUACUGACGCUGAGGUGCGAAAGUGUGGGGAGCAAACAGGAUUAGAUACCCGUGUAGUCC
This 424-nucleotide ribosomal RNA is filed under the name uncultured prokaryote. RNAcentral's name for it is "bacterial SSU rRNA". It matches the Rfam family "Bacterial small subunit ribosomal RNA", at positions 355 to 796 of the family's 1533-position model. The record is from RNAcentral.